RNAcentral lists this ribosomal RNA (468 nucleotides) under uncultured bacterium. RNAcentral's name for it is "partial 16S ribosomal RNA". It matches the Rfam family "Bacterial small subunit ribosomal RNA", at positions 28 to 507 of the family's 1533-position model. The record is from RNAcentral.
GACGAACGCUGGCGGCGUGCUUAACACAUGCAAGUCGAACGGAAAGGCCCUGCUUUUGUGGGGUGCUCGAGUGGCGAACGGGUGAGUAACACGUGAGUAACCUGCCCUUGACUUUGGGAUAACUUCAGGAAACUGGGGCUAAUACCGGAUAGGAGCUCCUACUGCUUGGUGGGGGUUGGAAAGUUUCUGCGGUUGGGGAUGGACUCGCGGCCUAUCAGCUUGUUGGUGGGGUAGUGGCUUACCAAGGCUUUGACGGGUAGCCGGCCUGAGAGGGUGACCGGCCACAUUGGGACUGAGAUACGGCCCAGACUCCUACGGGAGGCAGCAGUGGGGAAUAUUGCACAAUGGGCGGAAGCCGUAUGCAGCAACGCCGCGUGGGGGAUGACGGCCUUCGGGUUGUAAACCGCUUUCGCCUGUGACGAAGCGUGAGUGACGGUAAUGGGUAAAGAAGCACCGGCUAACUACGUG